Molecule: non-coding RNA, 2599 nt
Organism: Delphinapterus leucas (beluga whale)
Lineage: Eukaryota; Metazoa; Chordata; Mammalia; Artiodactyla; Monodontidae
Source: RefSeq, a predicted model, not a curated record
UUGUCUUGAUAGUAAUGUCAAACAUAUGCCACAGCAUUUUGGCCAUUGAUAUUCUUUGAACCUAUGAGUGCAAAGUGGCAUACUGAUUUUAAAAAGGCCAUGGCUAACUGCUUACUAGCCUUUAACAUGAGUAGUUUCACUAGGGUCCACUUGUGUAUAGAUAGAUUUGCUCAGCAAACCAUGCCUAAAGCUGGAUGAGGGAAUACCCAUUUGGGAUAAGAAAAAAGUAACUUAUAGGCCCAGGAUUUGUGAGCAUUAUAGAAAGUAUAACCUAAAUUUUUCUAUGGAUUCUUUUUCUUUAAGUUUCGAUUGCCCCAUUAUGGACAUCUUGGAUUGAUUUACAGAUGUGCUACCCAUCACUGGAUUUGGGACCACUCCUGACAGAUUUUCAAAUCGUGGACUCUCUUCUCAAAAGGUGAAUUUCUGUCACUGAGAACAAAGUAAUCUACUCAUUUGAUAGACUGACCGUAAAAGGUAUGUCUUUCUCAGAGUCCUUACUAAAUGCAGAAAUCAAAAGGUUGUCAUAGAAGCAGUAGAAUUUCUUUUAAUCAAGUCAGCACUGCUAUAUGAUGGCACAUACAAUAAACUCACAGUGGGCUGUGUGUGGUUGGGAGCAUGGCUGAGACAAGAGAAAUGCCUAAUGUGGUGUGGGGAUGGCAGAAACUUCAAUGGAGAAACAAAUUGGCCAGUGUGUCCCUAUUAUAUGCAGGAAGGUUGUCUUGAUGCCAAAAGAAUGUGCAAAAUCUCAAGCUUCCCAGUUGAAUUUGCUUUCUUGUAUGGAAUUAAUUCACCAUGACUUUGGCAGGUGUAUGUACAGAUGGUGAUGUUUUUUAAGAUAUCCUGACCCAGGAGCUUUAGAGGGUCCUCCUAGAUUUUUUGCUGGGUGGCUGAAAAGUCCCUUUCUCUUCCACUUGCUCACAUUUCAGAGGUUACGCCCAUCUUCAGGAUUUUACUGGUAGUAAUAAGAGAUCAUAAACACAAUAAAGAAACUCUACUAAAAUAGUGGAGAUAUGGCUAAUCUGAAAUAUGUAAUCAAAAAGUCAGGUAGAUGUAUGUGACUAUAUUGUUUGUACUUCAGUCCAUAUGUCUUACUUGAGAGCUGUAUGUUCAGUUAAAUUUUGAAAUAAAGCUCUAUGAUAAAUACUAGAGAGACCAGAAGAGUUCAUCUAAUUUCCCCAUCCUCCCCCCUGCACAAUUCAUCCAUGCUGGAAAUGGCCCCUUCUUAUCCUCCUGCCAGACACUGAAGUGGUUCAGACCCAAAAGGCUCCCCUUGGAGCACACAGAUAGUUUGAGAUAGAAACAGAGAUCUCUCAAGAUAGAAUUUACUUCUCCAGUCUGACUCUGGAAUCCAAGAGAAAGGCAGAAUUCUUUAUAGUUUCUCUUACUCUUAAAAAAAGUCAGAUGCCAAAAUUUUCCCACCAAAUGUCCAAAUCAAGAGAAGAGGAUGGAGUAAAUAUGGGUUUCAGUAAUCAAUUUUAUUCAUGUAGAGGGAUGUUGCUUACAGCUUUAAAUAGUGCCUGGAAAACUUCCACAAAGUAAUGAGCAUCUUACAAAUGUUUGUAAGUAUGUAGUUAUGUAGCUCACCUUUUGAAUUUAUAAAAAUCAGAAACGUCCGCCAGAAAGUUUUGCAAUGUGACAGUGGAACUAAAAAUAUAUAACAGCUACAGCUAACAUUUACUGAAUGUUCACUGUCAUUUGACAAAAAAAUUAAGUAUUUUAAAAUAGAAGGGCUUAUGGUGUGGUAACCUCUGUAUGUCUUCACAGACAUCCCUCCUUGCCUCUUUUCAGCACGAGCCAGCCUUGGCCGUAUGACUACCGUCCCAGUCCAAUCAGUUGCAAAAUAAAAAGGAAAAGGCUGAUUAUGUCCAUGUAGAUGUUCAGGGCAGCAAAAACAUACUCUUCAGGGUCCAGGUCAGAAUGAUGAUGGCGCCCUCCCACCAUCAGCUGUACAUCCAUCACCAAGUACUUAAAGAAAAGAAAGAAGAAUUAGCUACUUAAAUUGUACAUUUCUAUCAAUGCUUGGAUGAGAAUAAAAUACUUCAAACCUCAGACGUGGAAUGAGGAUUGAGACCUCAGUACCAGGGGAUGAGCUGGAGGACACACCUACAAAGCAUGGAGCUGCACUGUGCUAGGACUGCCUGGGAGGCUUUGAACUUCGUCAGCUGGCUAAUGACGUCCAGGAUUGGAGACUGGAAAAGAACCGGAGUCCCGGGAGUCCCGGAUUGCCUCUCUGGAUCUCCCAAACCCAGUGGUGCAGGAACUGGGAGACUACUCGCUCACCUGGACAAUGAGCAGUGUAUCCACACCAACUAAGAAAGGCCCCUCAAUGCUCCGUCAGCUGAAGAAAUGCCCAAAUGUGCGUAUCAAAGAGACAGUCUUCUCCAGCGUCAUGAGGAAACUGUUCUUCCCCGACGCAUGAUUCACACUGGACGCUGUGUGGUACCCACAGAGAACCUCAUCCUUGGCCGUGUGUCCUUGCUCACGUUGACCACCAGGAGGCGCAGAUCCAAAUCUAGGCUCAUCACACUCAAAUGCGUGGAACUAUGCAUUUUGCGCACGAAUCUCACCUCUGGCUUUAUUUUCCUUCCAUCAGAUUUCC